Long non-coding RNA from Aedes aegypti (yellow fever mosquito), 373 nucleotides. RefSeq lists it as uncharacterized. Lineage: Eukaryota; Metazoa; Arthropoda; Insecta; Diptera; Culicidae. The record is from RefSeq and is a predicted model, not a curated record. The transcript is spliced from 2 exons.
UCAAUACUUAAUUGAUUUUUGUUUUCAGCAUGCAACUUGGCCACUACAUUCAGUUUCGCGGCAGUCGCUGGAAUUACCGCGUAUGGAUACCUUCACGAUUACCACACCAUGUCCGUACCAUUUGAAAUCGACUACGGGUCACUCACAGCGAACGAAAAUGAUUUGAUAAUAUUUUGGGAUUUUUCUUCCUUGCAAAUGUGAUGAUUCGUGUGAUGGUCAACCGUUAUGUGCUGCGCAUUUACCGCAAUGAAGAUGACUAUAUCGCUAUUUUCGAAGGGCGUUUUCCGUUUACUCGAAGGGAAUUAAGGUUCAAAAGGGGGAACGUUGUACCGGUUCCAGAAGGAGGAAUAGUUCCGUGGCAGGAUGCUCGAUU